GCCGGGGUGGUGGAAUGGCAGACACGCUGGACUUAAAAUCCAGUUCCCCAAAGGAGUGAGGGUUCGACUCCCUCUCCCGGCA
Molecule: transfer RNA, 82 nt
Filed under: Candidatus Roizmanbacteria bacterium
Lineage: Bacteria; Candidatus Roizmaniibacteriota
Description: tRNA-Leu
Rfam family: tRNA
About the family: Transfer RNA (tRNA) molecules are approximately 80 nucleotides in length. Their secondary structure includes four short double-helical elements and three loops (D, anti-codon, and T loops).
Source: RNAcentral